UCUAGCUGUUUCUGAAAUGUUUGCAAUCUCUAAUGGUGGAGAAGAAAGAGUAGAGACACUCCAGGAGAUCAACGCAGGAAAGUAAUCACCAACUGUGAGUGAUCUGUUGCCGAGGGGACACUACACCGGAGUUACAUAAGCAGAGGUGGAAGUGUUAGGCUAAAUCGCCUUGGUUUGAUCUUUGCAAAUCGGUCGACGACCUCCCCAUGGAGGGUGACAUGCCUGUAUGCCAAUUAAUAUUUUUUCCCCAACUCCAGAAAACCUGUUUUGAAGCUCCUCCAGCAUUCUGUCGAGAACUGGA
Long non-coding RNA from Trematomus bernacchii (emerald rockcod), 301 nucleotides. RefSeq lists it as uncharacterized. The record is from RefSeq and is a predicted model, not a curated record. Lineage: Eukaryota; Metazoa; Chordata; Actinopteri; Perciformes; Nototheniidae. The transcript has 3 exons.